Molecule: ribosomal RNA, 253 nt
Filed under: uncultured bacterium
Lineage: Bacteria
Description: partial 16S ribosomal RNA
Rfam family: Bacterial small subunit ribosomal RNA
Source: RNAcentral
GACAGAGGAUGCAAGCGUUAUCCGGAAUGAUUGGGCGUAAAGCGUCUGUAGGUGGCUUUUCAAGUCCGCCGUCAAAUCCCAGGGCUCAACCCUGGACAGGCGGUGGAAACUACCAAGCUGGAGUACGGUAGGGGCAGAGGGAAUUUCCGGUGGAGCGGUGAAAUGCAUUGAGAUCGGAAAGAACACCAAUGGCGAAGGCAGCUUGCUGGGACGGUACUGACGCUGAGGCGCGAAAGCGUGGGGAGCAAACAGG